AUGGAUUGGCUCGCAUGGUGGACACUUUGCUUCCCUAAAAGUGAGGGAGGUAAGGGCUUUGGAGAUUUACAUUUUUUUAGCCUUCCAAUGCUAGCCAAGCAAUGUUCGAGAUUGAUACCUAACCCUGAUUUGUUCUGCGCAAGAAUUUUAAAUGCCAAAUACUACCUUGACUAUGAUCUGCCACAAUCUACCCCUAAGAAAGGUUCACCCUUCACGUGGCCACAACAUCAUGUUUUGUCUUUCAUCCUUGAAGCGUGGGUAUAUUCCGAGGAUUGGUACAGGGGGAGAGGAUCCUAUACAGUUCGGAUUGGAAGGUUAUUACGCCGAAAAUGUUACAUCCACGGGCUCCUAAGAAGAGAAUACUAUAUAAACUUACUAGUAACUAACUAA
This 390-nucleotide ribosomal RNA is filed under the name Triticum aestivum (bread wheat). RNAcentral describes it as "partial small subunit ribosomal RNA". The record is from RNAcentral. Lineage: Eukaryota; Viridiplantae; Streptophyta; Magnoliopsida; Poales; Poaceae.